ACGUAGGUCCCGAGCGUUGUCCGGAUUUAUUGGGCGUAAAGCGAGCGCAGGCGGUUAGAUAAGUCUGAAGUGAAAGGCAGUGGCUCAACCAUUGUAGGCUUUGGAAACUGUUUAACUUGAGUGCAGAAGGGGAGAGUGGAAUUCCAUGUGUAGCGGUGAAAUGCGUAGAUAUAUGGAGGAACACCGGUGGCGAAAGCGGCUCUCUGGUCUGUAACUGACGCUGAGGCUCGAAAGCGUGGGGAGCGAACAG
Molecule: ribosomal RNA, 250 nt
Filed under: uncultured bacterium
Lineage: Bacteria
Description: partial 16S ribosomal RNA
Rfam family: Bacterial small subunit ribosomal RNA
Source: RNAcentral